This 1151-nucleotide ribosomal RNA is filed under the name uncultured Actinomycetes bacterium. RNAcentral's name for it is "bacterial SSU rRNA". It matches the Rfam family "Bacterial small subunit ribosomal RNA", at positions 338 to 1501 of the family's 1533-position model. Lineage: Bacteria; Bacillati; Actinomycetota; Actinomycetes. The record is from RNAcentral.
CCUACGGGAGGCAGCAGUGGGGAAUAUUGCACAAUGGGCGCAAGCCUGAUGCAGCAACGCCGCGUGAGGGACGACGGCCUUCGGGUUGUAAACCUCUUUUAGUAGGGAAGAAGCGAAAGUGACGGUACCUGCAGAAAAAGCACCGGCUAACUACGUGCCAGCAGCCGCGGUAAUACGUAGGGUGCAAGCGUUAUCCGGAAUUAUUGGGCGUAAAGAGCUCGUAGGCGGUUUGUCGCGUCUGCUGUGAAAACUGGAGGCUCAACCUCCAGCCUGCAGUGGGUACGGGCAGACUAGAGUGCGGUAGGGGAGAUUGGAAUUCCUGGUGUAGCGGUGGAAUGCGCAGAUAUCAGGAGGAACACCGAUGGCGAAGGCAGAUCUCUGGGCCGUAACUGACGCUGAGGAGCGAAAGCAUGGGGAGCGAACAGGAUUAGAUACCCUGGUAGUCCAUGCCGUAAACGUUGGGAACUAGAUGUAGGGUCCAUUCCACGGAUUCUGUGUCGCAGCUAACGCAUUAAGUUCCCCGCCUGGGGAGUACGGCCGCAAGGCUAAAACUCAAAGGAAUUGACGGGGGCCCGCACAAGCGGCGGAGCAUGCGGAUUAAUUCGAUGCAACGCGAAGAACCUUACCAAGGCUUGACAUAUACCGGAAACGGCUGGAAACAGUCGCCCCGCAAGGUCGGUAUACAGGUGGUGCAUGGUUGUCGUCAGCUCGUGUCGUGAGAUGUUGGGUUAAGUCCCGCAACGAGCGCAACCCUCGUUCUUUGUUGCCAGCACGUAAUGGUGGGAACUCAAAGGAGACUGCCGGGGUCAACUCGGAGGAAGGUGGGGAUGACGUCAAAUCAUCAUGCCCCUUAUGUCUUGGGCUUCACGCAUGCUACAAUGGCCGGUACAAAGGGCUGCAAUACCGUAAGGUGGAGCGAAUCCCAAAAAGCCGGUCUCAGUUCGGAUUGAGGUCUGCAACUCGACCUCAUGAAGUCGGAGUCGCUAGUAAUCGCAGAUCAGCAACGCUGCGGUGAAUACGUUCCCGGGCCUUGUACACACCGCCCGUCAAGUCAUGAAAGUCGGUAACACCCGAAGCCAGUGGCCCAACCGCAAGGAGGGAGCUGUCGAAGGUGGGAUUGGUAAUUAGGACUAAGUCGUAACAAGGUAACC